RNAcentral lists this ribosomal RNA (285 nucleotides) under uncultured Pseudomonas sp. Its description in RNAcentral is "partial 16S ribosomal RNA". It matches the Rfam family "Bacterial small subunit ribosomal RNA", at positions 1096 to 1382 of the family's 1533-position model. Lineage: Bacteria; Pseudomonadati; Pseudomonadota; Gammaproteobacteria; Pseudomonadales; Pseudomonadaceae. The record is from RNAcentral.
GCGCAACCCUGUCCUUAGUUACCAGCACGUUAUGGUGGGCACUCUAAGGAGACUGCCGGUGACAAACCGGAGGAAGUGGGGAUGACGUCAAGUCAUCAUGGCCCUUACGGCCUGGGCUACACACGUGCUACAAUGGUCGGUACAAAGGGUUGCCAAGCCGCGAGGUGGAGCUAAUCCCAUAAAACCGAUCGUAGUCCGGAUCGCAGUCUGCAACUCGACUGCGUGAAGUCGGAAUCGCUAGUAAUCGUGAAUCAGAAUGUCACGGUGAAUACGUUCCCGGGCCUU